UACAGAGGUGGCAAGCGUUGUUCGGAAUUACUGGGCGUAAAGGGCGCGUAGGCGGCUUGGUCAGUCCCGUGUGAAAUCCCUCGGCUCAACUGAGGAACUGCACGGGAAACUGCCUGGCUUGAGUUCGGGAGAGGGAAGCGGAAUUCCGGGUGUAGCGGUGAAAUGCGUAGAUAUCCGGAGGAACACCGGUGGCGAAGGCGGCUUCCUGGACCGACACUGACGCUGAGGCGCGAAGGCCAGGGGAGCAAACGGG
This 253-nucleotide ribosomal RNA is filed under the name uncultured bacterium. RNAcentral's name for it is "partial 16S ribosomal RNA". It matches the Rfam family "Bacterial small subunit ribosomal RNA", at positions 524 to 776 of the family's 1533-position model. The record is from RNAcentral.